AAUUAAAAUUUUCAUUAAUUUCUGUUGUUAAAAACUAGUGUGGUUAAAAACCAAACAAUUACACAUAGCGUGUCACAUGUAUCUCGUGUCGAUGUAUAGGGACCAGAUUUUAAUAAUAGAAAUGGAUAAUUUUUUUGACA
Molecule: microRNA precursor, 140 nt
Filed under: Gossypium hirsutum (cotton)
Lineage: Eukaryota; Viridiplantae; Streptophyta; Magnoliopsida; Malvales; Malvaceae
Description: MIR7502 microRNA precursor family
Rfam family: MIR7502 microRNA precursor family
Source: Rfam by way of RNAcentral